RNAcentral lists this unclassified non-coding RNA (182 nucleotides) under uncultured fungus. Its description in RNAcentral is "sequence contains ITS1". Lineage: Eukaryota; Fungi. The record is from RNAcentral.
UUGAUUGAUUUGUAUUCAAUACUCGACGCAAAGAUGCAGGGUUGGUUGGUCCUCUGGGGGACUCCCGAGCGCGGACGGCCGGGUCGCCCCCCGAGGCAACAGUUAAUAUCGACAAAGGGUUGGAGGUCGGGCGCGAGGGCCCUCACUCGGUAAUGAUCCCUCCGCAGGUUCACCUACGGAGA